Molecule: ribosomal RNA, 429 nt
Filed under: Actinomycetes bacterium
Lineage: Bacteria; Bacillati; Actinomycetota; Actinomycetes
Description: Actinobacteria bacterium partial 16S ribosomal RNA
Rfam family: Bacterial small subunit ribosomal RNA
Source: RNAcentral
UAGGGAAUCUUCCGCAAUGGGCGAAAGCCUGACGGAGCAACGCCGCGUGAGUGAUGAAGGUCUUCGGAUCGUAAAACUCUGUUAUUAGGGAAGAACAAAUGUGUAAGUAACUAUGCACGUCUUGACGGUACCUAAUCAGAAAGCCACGGCUAACUACGUGCCAGCAGCCGCGGUAAUACGUAGGUGGCAAGCGUUAUCCGGAAUUAUUGGGCGUAAAGCGCGCGUAGGCGGUUUUUUAAGUCUGAUGUGAAAGCCCACGGCUCAACCGUGGAGGGUCAUUGGAAACUGGAAAACUUGAGUGCAGAAGAGGAAAGUGGAGUUCCAUGUGUAGCGGUGAAAUGCGCAGAGAUAUGGGGGAACACCAGUGGCGAAGGCGACUUUCUGGUCUGUAACUGACGCUGAUGUGCGAAAGCGUGGGGAUCAAACAGG